AGAGUUUGAUCCUGGCUCAGAGCGAACGCUGGCGGCAGGCUUAACACAUGCAAGUCGAGCGCCCCGCAAGGGGAGCGGCAGACGGGAGAGUAACACGUGGGAACGUACCCUUCAGUUCGGAACAACCCAGGGAAACUUGGGCUAAUACCGGAUACGUCCGUAAGGAGAAAGAUUUAUCGCUGAAGGAUCGGCCCGCGUCUGAUUAGCUAGUUGGUGAGGUAACGGCUCACCAAGGCGACGAUCAGUAGCUGGUCUGAGAGGAUGAUCAGCCUCACUGGGACUGAGACACGGCCCAGACUCCUACGGGAGGCAGCAGUGGGGAAUAUUGGACAAUGGGCGCAAGCCUGAUCCAGCCAUGCCGCGUGGA
Molecule: ribosomal RNA, 367 nt
Filed under: uncultured bacterium
Lineage: Bacteria
Description: bacterial SSU rRNA
Rfam family: Bacterial small subunit ribosomal RNA
Source: RNAcentral